This 267-nucleotide ribosomal RNA is filed under the name uncultured bacterium. RNAcentral describes it as "partial 16S ribosomal RNA". It matches the Rfam family "Bacterial small subunit ribosomal RNA", at positions 793 to 1055 of the family's 1533-position model. The record is from RNAcentral.
GUCCACGCCGUAAACGAUGGAUGCUAGAUGUUUCCGGUAUUGACCCCGGAGGUGUCGUAGCUAACGCGUUAAGCAUCCCGCCUGGGGGAGUACGGCCGCAAGGCUAAAACUCAAAGGAAUUGACGGGGCCCGCACAAGCGGUGGAGCAUGUGGUUUAAUUCGACGCAACGCGAAGAACCUUACCUGGGUUGGAACCCUCCAGAAGUUUGCAGAGAUGCAGAUGUGCCCGCAAGGGAAUUGGAUGUCCAGGUGCUGCAUGGCUGUCGU